CUAUAGCCCAAACUGGCCUCGAACCUCAAACUCCCAGUGAUCCUCCUGCCUUAGCCUCCUGAGUGCUGAGAUUAAGGCCUGUGCCAUCAUGCCUGGCUGAUUCUUACAUUCCUAUUCAACUGCUUUUAAGGAAAAACAAACAAACAAAAAAAAAAACCUGUUGCUAGCUUUGUCUUUGAAGAAUUGAAAAAUCACAAUGUUCAAACUAUAUGGGAAAAUGCGUCAAGCAUCUUCCACUGGGUUCCUCAUACUUGUUUGAUCGAUAUAAUGAAAGCAAUAUACGACAUGAUGGGCAAAUGCACAUAUCCUGUCCUCAAAGAAGAUGCUCCCAGACAACACAUGGAGACAUUUUUCCAGAAAAUGGACAAAAAUAAAGAUGGGGACCAUAGACGAGUUCAUUGAAAGCUGCCAAAAAGAUGAAAACAUCAUGCGCUCCAUGCAGCUCUUCGAAGAUGUGAUUUAACUUGUCAAAUGUGAACUACUCUACCACACUUACAGUUGGAGCUACCACUUUUAGCAUAGAUUGCUCAGCUUUACACUGAGGCAUAUUAUACCAACAAGCUUUGUUUAAUAUCAAGCAAUCCCAGGAAGAUUUGAGUUUUUCAUUUAUAAUUUGCAUCCCUUUCAUAACGGCACUGAGUUCAUGAGAUAUUCUAACUCAUUUCACACUCUGGAUAUUCAAAAGUAAUAGAAUCUGGUGUAUAGUUUUUUGAUCCUUUAGUCAUGGGAUUAUUGAGGCUUUCACACAUUAGUAAUUUUAAAAUAUCAGUGUUUUUUGCUAUUCAUUUGUAGGUAUUCAGUCCGAGGAUUUCAAAUUAUUUUCUAAAAUAUGUACAUCUGUAUUAUUUCCAGAAGUUAAUUUCACUUCCUUACAUUUAUGUAACAUUAACAAAGUAAGAUUACUACAAUUGGAAACCAAAACUGCGUAAUUUUCCAAUUUCUAUAGAUUUCCCACCUUCUGUUAAAGACAUUAUCUGGCAUUUUUUAUAACAAAAAAUUAGUUUAUUACUGAAUGUCAACAUAUGCCUAAUAAAAUUUAUUUUAAUAAGCACUUUUCCACGUAUUACAGCAAAGGCCUACAAAAUAUGUAUGAUUUUGGGCUGGUUUAAUCUUACAAGUGGACUGUAUCUAGGAGGCUAUUAAGCGGAAGUUCAAAGCAAGGAAGUUUACAUAGGCAAAGGGUCAGGAUAUCUGUCCUUUGAUACAUAAUAAUGCUCAACAAAAAAUAAUCCCUGACAGUAUUAAAGACCAAUUCCAUCUCCUUUGCCCUGACUUCCCCACAGCAUGUUUAUAUUACAAGCCAUUUGGGGUCAAAGAAACCCAA
This is a long non-coding RNA of Cavia porcellus (domestic guinea pig), 1324 nucleotides long. RefSeq lists it as uncharacterized. The record is from RefSeq and is a predicted model, not a curated record. NCBI's taxonomy places the organism in Eukaryota, Metazoa, Chordata, Mammalia, Rodentia, Caviidae. The transcript is spliced from 3 exons.